This 294-nucleotide long non-coding RNA is filed under the name Salvia miltiorrhiza (redroot sage). RNAcentral describes it as "long non-coding RNA (SMIL_LNC002972)". The record is from RNAcentral. Lineage: Eukaryota; Viridiplantae; Streptophyta; Magnoliopsida; Lamiales; Lamiaceae.
AGUUUUUUUUUUUUUUUUAAUUUAUAAUUUUUCACAGUGAAUUCAUAUAAUAACAAAUUUAUAAUUGACAAUUAAUUAACAGCGCGUGGCGUUGGAUUGAUACAUAUUUAUUUAUAUAAACACCUAACGAAGUCACACCAUAAACGAAUUGUAUGAUGCAAUAUUCCAUCUCAUAUUACCUGUUUGUCAUAUUGUAGGAUAAUGGUAUAUAUCAUAUUCAAAUCAAUAUUCAAUUGUAUAUUCCAGACCCUCCCUAUCUCUUUCACUUCUUCUAAUUAUAUGUGUGUGUGUGUG